GUUUUUCCAACGAGAAAGCAGCCUUGAAUCUGACUGAACUGAAGUACUUAAAACAAAGAUGAAGUGACCGUACCAUACCAUAAACAGAAAUCUGUAACUACAUCUCCCAAACUGAUGAUCUUCCUUCAGAAUCCCAACAAGAAUGGUUAGAUACACCUAAAAAGAGUACUGGUUUCUUCCUAAGAAAACACAGGAAAUGACCAUUCACACCUUACAAGGCAAGAUGGCAAAGAGUUUUCAACCAACAAGAAGCCAUGCAAUCUCUUAAACAGUCAGCUACAAACCACCACUGCUAGAAAAUCCCGGUAAAUCCCAUCUUCUUUCUUCUCUUAAUUACUCCUAUAGCAUCUAUAAUGUUGAACCAACCCCUAAAGUCUAUGACUUUAUUCUCAAAACCUCUUUUAAACCUUUCAAUUCCAUCACAUUCCUUCAGUUCUUGACCAUCUUGAAAAAGUUGAAAACUUUGAACCACCUGAAUCUAUUUUUGCUUAUCUUAUAGAAUUUUAUGGAAUUGCUGAUAAAAACCAAGAAGCAAUUGAGUUGUUCUGUAGAAUUCCAAAGAUUAGAUGCCAGUUGUUUGUAGAAGCAGUAAAGGUCUAAACUUGGUGCCCGAAAUUUUGUUGAAGAGUCAAGUUAUGAAUACUCGAAUGGAAGAAUCGACUUUUCAGGUAUUUAUUGCUGCUCUCUGUAGGAUUAGAAAGGUGGGUUUUGCUAUUGAGAUCUUGAGUUGUAUGGUGAAUGGUGGGUUUAUUGUAAACGCAGAAAUAUCUUCUAUGUUAUUGUCAUGUCUUUGUGAACAGAAAUAAGCAACCAAAUUCGAGGUUAUGGGGUUUUUUAGAGGAAUUGAGAAAGUUAGGAUUUUUUCCUAGAAUGGUGGAUUAUAGUAAUGUUAUUAGGUUUUUAGUGAAAGGAAAAAUGGGUUUGGAUGCUUUGCAUGUUGUGAAUCAGAUGAAAUAAGAUAAAAUUAAGCUUGGAUAAGGGUUUAUGCACUCAGAGUUUCACAUUUGAUGAGAUAAUUUGUGGUUUAUGCCAUAGAGACCUCAGUUGUAAAACACUUGAAUUACUUGAGAAAAUGGUUAGUAAGGAUGUCUCCUGGUGUUAGAGAUUGGAAAGCGCUUCUCCUUAACUCUGGAAUCGAACUUGGUUUUAUAGAGACUACAUUGUUUAGUUUGGUAGACACAAUUCAAACUCAGUUAAUGUUGAGUGAUUAACCCUCUUUUACUAAUGUUUCCCCCAGAAAUGGUUGAAGUCAGUGAUGAACCCAUGAAUAAAAUUUUGAGGCUAAGGAGAGUUUAUCUUCUUGGGUGGUGGAUCCAAGAAUAGAGUUUGUAUUUGUUGAAUUUUCAGUAAUGUUGCCUCAGUGGUGUGCCGUGAUGUUAAUAACUUUCAAUUAGCUAGCUAAUUAUGAAUUCUCAAAAAUUUAAAAAUACAAAUGACAUGGUAUGGAUGAAGCAUCAAGUUGCAACUUCAAAGUUUCUAUUCAGAAGCUAAGUUGCUGUAGUGGAUGGAUGCAUGUGUAUUUUGAGCACCAACGAGGCCAUUAUUUGAUUGUAUCCUUCAGUGGGGGCACAUGCAACUUGUCUGUUCUGAACACGAAAUCAUGCCUACCCAGUAUGCUUUCCUGGCCCUUACCUGGUUUUACAAAUUACAAGAAAUGCACCAAAUAUUAAAGGAACAACAUCCAAGUCCAGUGUCUCAAAUUUACCACCGUGUACAUUUGUCUUUAAGGUGAAUUAUUGUAGACAAGAACUUUAAUAGAUAGAAUAUAUAACUCCAACAAAAUGCUUGCGUUGAGUUGCUCAGAAGCUUAGCAGAGAGCUGUUGGUGGUAACUCGUACAUGACUUUUUGUUAUUUGUAUCAUGUCAUGAUACUAAAAAUUGGAAUAGUUCCAACUGGUUUGGAUCAACAGUUUUUGGUUGGAUCAGCUUCUUUUACCUGUACAACUUUUUUAGCUCCAGAAUUCGUGCAUUGCCACGCUUCAUCAACACUUGUUUACAAUAGAAAUUGUAGCCUUAAAAGUGGGAUCUUUUCCGAUCUACAAGGUUGAUCAGACCAAGGUAUGAGUUCAUCCUAGAAACCAAAAAUGCUGUUUCUUUUGAAAUGGGUCUUUCUAAUCCUCGUUUCCAUGGAAUUAAAGCUAGGAUUUGAUUAAUGGUGGUGAAAUGACACAAUUAUGGAUGUGUUGUCAUCUCAUUUCUUUACAUGUCAUUGUUUCCAACGGCAGGCCAGCGAAUGAUUUGCUAGAGUAAUUGGUAAACCAGCACCCAGUGCCUGCAAUAUUCUUCAUUGGGGUAUUUUGCAUGAUCAAAUCUAAGUCUUUUAUGGUUUAGGUUUAUAAGGCAUUUGUUAUUAUUAAAUUUACUUGCUGAAUCUGGAUAGUGAAUGCAUGCCAAACUCUUGGUUUUCAUUGACUGAAUUUUCAUUUGGAUUAUAUAGACUAUAUAGAUGGGUUAGGUUUGUUGAUUUCUUAUUUCACUAAGUGUCCACUCAUGUACUUUCUUCAUCAAAUAUUAUGAAGUUAAACGAGUCUAUAACCCUCCAACGGCUGCUUUUCCUUUUUUCUGAAAGUGGCCAGAACUCUUGAACUGUCAUCGCAAUAGAAUUUGAUUAGAGGAUCUCCAAGAUAGAAGAACAUAUUAAGCAACUGGGGUCAGACUCUGUCCUCACUACCAACUGUUUAUUGUUCACAAAUCUCUUGCAAGUCUGCCAUAGUUGCAGGGAAGAGUCUAAAUGAAACGAAAUUUGCUCUAUUUCUUUCCAAGCUUGUAGAGUUGCAUUGUAGUAUAUGAACAGUGAUCAAGGACAAUCUAUUAAUCUGGCACCUGAAAUACUGUCAACAACAAAAUUAUCAUAUUUCAUGUUAGCUUUACCAGUA
Molecule: long non-coding RNA, 2876 nt
Organism: Populus trichocarpa (black cottonwood)
Lineage: Eukaryota; Viridiplantae; Streptophyta; Magnoliopsida; Malpighiales; Salicaceae
Exons: 2
Source: RefSeq, a predicted model, not a curated record